This 253-nucleotide ribosomal RNA is filed under the name uncultured bacterium. RNAcentral's name for it is "partial 16S ribosomal RNA". It matches the Rfam family "Bacterial small subunit ribosomal RNA", at positions 524 to 776 of the family's 1533-position model. The record is from RNAcentral.
UACGAAGGGUGCUAGCGUUGUUCGGAAUUACUGGGCGUAAAGCGCGCGUAGGCGGUCUGUCAAGUCAGGGGUGAAAUCCUGGGGCUUAACCCCAGAAUUGCCUUUGAAACUGUCAGACUAGAGUGUCGGAGGGGAUAGCGGAAUUGCUAAUGUAGAGGUGAAAUUCGUAGAUAUUAGCAGGAACACCGGUGGCGAAGGCGGCUAUCUGGACGACAACUGACGCUGAGGCGCGAAAGCGCGGGGAUCAAACAGG